RNAcentral lists this ribosomal RNA (463 nucleotides) under uncultured bacterium. RNAcentral describes it as "partial 16S ribosomal RNA". It matches the Rfam family "Bacterial small subunit ribosomal RNA", at positions 29 to 507 of the family's 1533-position model. The record is from RNAcentral.
ACGCACGCUGGCGGCGUGCUUCACCCAUGCAAGUCGCACGGUAAGGCCCCUUCGGGGGUACACGAGUGGCGACCGGGUGAGUAACACGUGAGCAACCUGCCCUUGACUUUGGGAUACCAGCUGGAAACAGCUGCUAAUACCGGAUAUGACCUCUUCUCUCAUGGGUUGAGGUGGAAAGCUCCGGCGGUCAGGGAUGGGCUCGCGGCCUAUCAGCUUGUUGGUGAGGUAAUGGCUCACCAAGGCUUCGACGGGUAGCCGGCCUGAGAGGGCGACCGGCCACACUGGGACUGAGAUACGGCCCAGACUCCUACGGGAGGCAGCAGUGGGGAAUAUUGCACAAUGGGCGCAAGCCUGAUGCAGCAACGCCGCGUGCGGGAUGACGGCCUUCGGGUUGUAAACCGCUUUCAGUAGGGACGAAGCUAACGUGACGGUACCUACAGAAGAAGGACCGGCUAACUACGUG